AGCAGCAGCCGCGGUAAUACGAAGGGGGCUAGCGUUGUUCGGAAUUACUGGGCGUAAAGCGCACGUAGGCGGAUAUUUAAGUCAGGGGCGAAAUCCCGCAGCUCAACUGCGGAACUGCCUUUGAUACUGGGUAUCUUGAGUAUGGAAGAGGUUAGUGGAAUUGCGAGUGUAGAGGUGAAAUUCGUAGAUAUUCGCAGGAACACCAGUGGCGAAGGCGGCUAACUGGUCCAUAACUGACGCUGAGGUGCGAAAGCGUGGGGAGCAAACAGGAUUAGAGACCCCCGUAGUCCCUGUCUCUUAUAC
Molecule: ribosomal RNA, 303 nt
Filed under: uncultured bacterium
Lineage: Bacteria
Description: partial 16S ribosomal RNA
Rfam family: Bacterial small subunit ribosomal RNA
Source: RNAcentral